UCCCUCGUGGCGCAAUUGGCUAGCGCGUUCGACUGUUACUUUGAAGCAAUUCAAUCGCAGAUUCAUCGAGAGGUUGGUGGUUCAAGCCCACCCGAGGGAG
This 100-nucleotide transfer RNA is filed under the name Sclerotinia borealis F-4128. It matches the Rfam family "tRNA". Rfam says of the family: Transfer RNA (tRNA) molecules are approximately 80 nucleotides in length. Their secondary structure includes four short double-helical elements and three loops (D, anti-codon, and T loops). Lineage: Eukaryota; Fungi; Ascomycota; Leotiomycetes; Helotiales; Sclerotiniaceae. The record is from Rfam by way of RNAcentral.